Molecule: ribosomal RNA, 431 nt
Filed under: uncultured bacterium
Lineage: Bacteria
Description: bacterial SSU rRNA
Rfam family: Bacterial small subunit ribosomal RNA
Source: RNAcentral
GUUAGGAAUAUUCGACAAUGGGGGAAACCCUGAUCGAGCAAUGCCGCGUGAAGGAUGAAGGUCUUAUGGAUUGUAAACUUCUGUUGUUAGGGAAGAAUGACCUAUAUAGGAAAUGAUAUAGGAGUGACGGUACCUUUCAAGAAAGCUCCGGCUAACUACGUGCCAGCAGCCGCGGUAAUACGUAGGGAGCAAGCGUUAUCCGGAUUUAUUGGGUGUAAAGGGUGCGUAGGCGGCUAGAUAGGUCUAUGGUUUAAGCCCGAGGCUUAACCUCGGUUCGCCAUAGAAACCGUCUGGCUUGAGUAUGGUAGAGGCAAGUGGAAUUUCUAGUGUAGCGGUAAAAUGCGUAGAUAUUAGAAGGAACACCAGUGGCGAAGGCGACUUGCUGGGCCAUUACUGACGCUGAGGCACGAAAGCGUGGGGAGCAAAUAGGA